RNAcentral lists this long non-coding RNA (5821 nucleotides) under Eucalyptus grandis. Its description in RNAcentral is "long non-coding RNA (EGRA_LNC007672)". The record is from RNAcentral. Lineage: Eukaryota; Viridiplantae; Streptophyta; Magnoliopsida; Myrtales; Myrtaceae.
UUCCAACGGCACUUUCCCAUCUCACGGUAUGCAGAUCCGAUCCAAUCCCUGUUUUCCUCUUUUGAUUUGCUUAGAUAGGAGCGUGUCGAUGUUUGCUUCCUGCGGCGUUCUUUCUUUUUGAAGGACUCCACUUUUCUCCCUGCACGCGAUCCGUCUGAUCUUGGAUUCUUCGACUUUAAAUCGAAGUUGUUGAAGCAAACGAAGGAAAAAGGGAAGAAUAUUGAAGAGGGAGUUGUUUUGUUGCAGGCUGAGAGCAUUUUACUUUAGUUGGUUGAUGUUCUAGGAGUCCAAAUAUACUGGUGGUUUGCAUCGAAAUAUGAUUUUAGGGUAGGGACUUUGAUGGGGUUUGAAUAAGGAGAUAUAUGACCAUGGAUCCUUUGAACUUUGAUUGCUCUGAUUGUAUCAAUGUAGAAGAUCUUCCAAUAGACAGCCGUGCCUUUUCUCCUAAUCCAGAUCAGUACCCGAGUCUCUUAGAUGGUUUCUUUUGGCAUGACCCUUUUCUAGAUCUUAAAUCCUCAGAUAGUGCUUUUCUUUCGAAUAAAGUAGACCCCGCCAAUGAUCUCCCCUCGAAAUCUGUUGACCUCGAUAUUGGAGAUUUAAUCUUUCCCAUGACAAGCAUGAGCUCAGGUGGAGGCCCAUUUGGUCCAUCUAUGAUCUCGAGUAGUGGCCUGAGUCCAAGGGCAUAUUCCCUCUCCCCAUCAGAGGACACUGACUCAUCGGAUCCUGUUCUAAAGUACAUAAGUCAGAUGCUUAUGGAAGAGAACAUGGAGGAGCAACCGUGGGAAUUUGCCUAAAUCAUUCAUGCGAAAUACGUGAUUUUCUUAGAUUUCACUGAAAUCUUAGAAUUUGUUUGAUUUUCUCUUGAGGCUAAAUCUAAGUUACAUUUAAUUGAAAAAAUGAUUUAGGCAAUUUUUGGAUCGCUUGAGCCUUUCUUGCCAACCCUAUUUAUUUAUCCGUAGACCUCAUUGAGCCUUAAUUAUUAUUCAAUUUUCAUUGACAUCCAUAUAUGUUUAGCUUAGCUUUUAUUAAAUUAUAUCAUUGUCCCAUGCCCCUGAACACAUUGAUUUUUUUUUUUUGGAUAAAAGUUAAUUUUAGCCUAAUAACAAUUUGGCAUAAAGGAUGGAGCAUGAAAAAGAAAAGAAAAUAAAAUUGAAUGCUAUGGUUGUUUGGGCUAUAUCAUCGAAAAUAAAAAUUACUUUUUUAUGGUUCCCUAUUGAACUUUCAAUUGAGUGAGCCUUUUGGAUAUUCAAUGGAUUGGAAAUUUUCAAGUUAUAUUAGGAGGGAUUUUGGGAGGAACUCCACCAUAAAGCAAUUUGAAAGGAAAAAAAAAGAGCAAUGAAAAAAAAAGAAAGAAAAAAAAAUGAAUGAUGAUAUGUGGUGGGAGAUAUCUUGAAGGAGUGAAAUUGGGAACAAUGACAUUGACUCUAAUUAUAUCCUAAAAAUCAAUGUGUUGAUGGGUGAUUUGAGCUUAAACUUACCGUUAUGUCACAUUUAGCCCAGCCUUAUAUUAUAAACCGAGAAAAGUCCUAUUGAUUUUUGGUUAGAUAAUUAGCUUAUAUUGAUGGAGAGAGGAAUAAAAAGCAAACCUAGAAGAUUUGGUCAUGAUUAUAGAGAAUUUUUGAGAAGUUGUAUACAAAUUUGAAUUUAUCUAGAUUACGUAUAAUUUGAAAAGAUGAUGACUCACACACACAUUUCGAUUACAUAGUUAGAAUUAGUCUUAACUUAUAAAUCAAUUUCAAUGUUUGAAUGAAAUUUGUAUUUUUCUUUGAAUUGUGAAUUUGAGCAAUUAUGGAAAGAUGUCAUGAAGGAGGUUGUUAGCUUGAGUAUGUGUUAUAUAUACUUUUGCUCGAGAAUUAACAAAAUGUUAAGUUUGGGAGUUUGAUAACUCUAUAAUAAUAGAAUUAAUUUUACCUAUUUUAGGCAACGAAUAUAGUACUUUAUAAUGCAAUAUUCAUUAGAAAAUAAUUGGAUCUCCUUCUAUUUACUAAAAUCUUCCUUGUUUAUGCAGAAUAAUAAGAUAUUGAGAAAAUAAGGAAAAAAAAAGGGCAAGAGAAUGAAAGGAAAUUUUUGUAAUUCAGAAAUUCAAAUUAAAAAGUGUUGGAAGAUGGAUACUAAUCAAGGAUUAUGUGAUUUAUUCACUGGUUUUAUGCAAAAAAAAAUAAAUAAGCAAUUGGAUUUUGUUAGGAAUCUUGAAUAUGUCCUAUAAAUAGGAUAAUAUAAACAGCUAAGAUUUUGGUUUUUUUUGAUCGUUUUUCAUUAUUUUGAGAAUUUUUUUGAGCAUUCUCGAGAGAAAAUAAAGUGGUAGCAACAUUCUUGUUCUAUGAUUCAAGACGUUGGGUUUAAUUUAUAUUUUCGUUUCUUCUUCUACAAUAUUAUAUUUUUCUUUUGUUAGGGUUAUGAUGUAGCCUAAAUGUGAAUUUCAUUAUUUUUAUGCAUGCAAGUUACUGGUCAUCACUUGAAUGAUCUAACGUAUAUAUUUGAGACUGAGAAGUGAUGAUAUGUAAUUACUCAUCAUAAUAAAUAAUCAUGAAUUAAACAUGGAUAUAGAUAUAUCAUUCUAUUUGUAUAGCUUUCGAUGAUAAGGUGAUCCAAAAGACUCAUUGUAAAUCAGGAAUAUUUAUAAAUUUUAAUGCACUUAUGUUUAUUUAAAUUAACAUAAAGAUAUAAUGGAUUAUUAAGCUGAGUAGGUUUGCUAUACAUAGAGAUAUGAUAGUAAAUACAUUAAGAAAUUCCACCAUCACCUGUUUAAUAUUAUUAUUGUAUGCAUAAUAAUUUGAAAUUCAUAUUUAGUAGUUAUUAUAAAAUCAAAUGCUCUAACAUAUUUAUCUGAUUGAUUUACUGCAUUUAGUCUCAAAAAUUAACUUUUAAGACUUUUAGUUUUAAUUUAUUCUCAAUUCUAUUUUGAUCUGGUAGAUAAAUUUUAGAAUUAAUUUAUUAAUCAUAAAUCUCUGUGGGGCGGUACUCAUUCUUAUCAUUAUAUUAUUUGCUUGACAUGUUUACUCGCGUUUAUAAUUUUAUGAACAAACCAAUUUUAACAUGCCCUCUUAAGAUAAAAGUCCAAAUUCAACUAAUUUGAAAGAUCAGAAAAUAACAUGAAAAAUUCAAGUUAUACGAACCAUGACACCAGUAUUCAUAGCAACAUGCUCAAUCACAAUCCUUUCUAGAUUGUUGUUAGAGUAUCGAGAACACAAGGAUGCGGCAAACAACAAGGUUUUGUUCAGAGAUAAUUUGAUGUGGCCAUGAAACAUAAAUGACAUUGUUUUGGUUGCUAAAGUCGAAUUGGAUAAAAAAUAAGGUUUCAUCACACACACACUCUCUCUCUCUCUCUCUCUCUCUCUCUCUCUCUCUCUCUCUCUCUCUCUCUCUUGAGAGAUAAAGGUCUAAUUAAACUCCAUUUGUUUGGUGAAAAAUAAUUUUUAAGAAAAUAUUUUGUAGAUUUUAUGGUGUUCCUUUCAUAGAAAAUGAAUUACUUGAGGAAAACAUUUUUCAUGAAGAAAAAAAAAGUCUUCUAAUAUAGAGGAAAAUGUUUCCACUUUUCAAAUAAGGGAAAACAUUUUCCCCGUUUACUCUCUCUCAUCUGACCCCCCUACAAGUCCCUACUUCUUCUUCUUUUCAUUGUUUUCCUCUUAUUCUUUCUUAGUUGGUUGCUAGCCACAAUGAUGGUUGGCAAUUGGCUACAGGCAACCCUCGACCUCGCUAGCGAGCUUGAGGCUCGCCUAAUCUGCGAGUAAGAGCCUCUAGCUUGCCAAUUUGGCAAGCCUCUAGAUCUAGUGAGACCCUAAGCUUGCCAUAUUAGUGAGUCGAUUUGGCGAGCCUCGAGCUCGCCGGCCUUGGGCCUUGCCAGAUCGGCGAGCUAGUCUCUCGCUUGAGGCUUUCUUGUGGUUGGUUGUCGGCGAUUGACCAAAGAUGAAGAGCAAAACAAAGAAAAGAAGAAGAAAAGAAGAAAAAAAAGAAAAAAAAUUAAUAAUCAAUCUUUUAUAAUAUAAGAAAGAAUUAAAAAUCGAUUUUUAUAAAAAAUAAAGAAUGAAAAAUGGAUUUAAAAAAAUAAAAUAAUAAUACAAUUAUUGAAAAAGAUUAUAUGGAGGAAAAGAUAUUCCUUACUAAGCAAUGGAAAAUAUUUUCCACUUCAUUUUUAAAUUUUACUCAAACAUUGAAAAAUAAAUAUAUUUCCUAGAAAAUAUUUUUGAGAAAUGUCAUAUUUUCUUAGAAACGAAUGGAGCCUUAAAGUCACUUGAGACACCAAACCAAUCACCACAGUUGCACACACCUGAGCUUGAAUUCCAAUUGAAGAGGGGCUUCCCUCCAUGGGUUGAAGAAUGAGUUCCUAAGCCGAACGAGGACCGAUUAUUGGGGAUCUCUUACACACACGGACAUUAAUGGAAAAAUACAAAAUACAUGAGAAAUUAUUGAAUUCUUAAUAUGCUUCUUUUUGCAAAAAAAAAAAGGUAAAAAGAAAAAGAAAUAAUGAAGUCGAAGGAGAACAGUGGAUUGUUUUCUUACUAAAAAUGACAGGCGUUUUUUCUUCACUAAAGUUAUGUCAAAGUCAUAUUAGUCCAGUUUGCUUUUUGAUGUCCUCUUAACCAGCCACGUAAAAUUUUUUAUGGCAACAUUAGAUGAGAUCAAGGCUAUUGAUAUUCCCGCGUGCAUGACAUAGAGUUUUCAACGACACAUAAAAAUUCAGGCAUUGGUCGGUACACAGCCGUCCUAAUUUGAGAAUUUUUUGUGGUUUUUUCCCGGGAGUCUCCUGUCUCUUUUUUUUUUUGACUUUUUUUUUUUACUGGCUGGCAAGCAUGGGGGCAUAGUCAACCGCAGCUGGUCAAAGAGGGACCCAUGGUUGACCGAUUCACGGAUCGAAGGGACACGAAGCGGAAGAGGCGCAGAUUGAGAUCAUCCGGGCACCGCCUUAUUGUCUGACCCUAAACAUCCUACGCCGAUCUCUUUUGGAUAUCAAGUCGAAGUUGGAUUGUCCAGCUCAUCUCCUUCGCGGGAUGUUCCGACCUGCACGCAAUCAUUCAUCCGCUGAUUGGCUCGUAUAUUAAGAAUCGCAUCGAAGGAACUUGUCAUGAGGUCGGUCUUUUCUCAGCUUCCAACCCCACUUUCCCAUCUCACGGUAUGCAGAUCCGAUCCAAUCCCUGUUUUCCUCUUUUGAUUUGCUUAGAUAGGAGCGUGUCGAUGUUUGCUUCCUGCGGCGUUCUUUCUUUUUGAAGGACUCCACUUUUCUCCCUGCACGCGAUCUGUCUGAUCUUGGAUUCUUCGACUUUAAAUCGAAGUUGUUGAAGCAAACGAAGGAAAAAGGGAAGAAUAUUGAAGAGGGAGUUGUUUUGUUGCAGGCUGAGAGCAUUUUACUUUAGUUGGUUGAUGUUCUAGGAGUCCAAAUAUACUGGUGGUUUGCAUCGAAAUAUGAUUUUAGGGUAGGGACUUUGAUGGGGUUUGAAUAAGGAGAUAUAUGACCAUGGAUCCUUUGAACUUUGAUUGCUCUGAUUGUAUCAAUGUAGAAGAUCUUCCAAUAGACAGCCGUGCCUUUUCUCCUAAUCCAGAUCAGUACCCGAGUCUCUUAGAUGGUUUCUUUUGGCAUGACCCUUUUCUAGAUCUUAAAUCCUCAGAUAGUGCUUUUCUUUCGAAUAAAGUAGACCCCGCCAAUGAUCUCCCCUCGAAAUCUAUUGACCUCGAUAUUGGAGAUUUAAUCUUUCCCGCGACAAGCGUGAGCUCAGGUGGAGGCCCAUUUGGUCCAUCUAUGAUCUCGAGUAGUGGCCUGAGUCCAGGGGCAUAUUCCCUCUCCCCAUCAGGGGACACUGGCUCAUCGGAUCCUGUUCUAAAGUAC